UUCAGCUGUGGGAUUUGCCGGCGUGACAGAGCUGAGACUGGAUGUGUGUGUGUUAGGUGUGUAUCUAUAUGUGUGUGUGUGUGAGAGAGAGUACUUCAGCCCACGUUCAUUCACAGACUUGUUCUCUUCCUGUCAAAGCUGUCGUCUCUCUUCAGACAGGUUGAACUCAGAUCUAUUUACAGUUCGACACUUGUGGUGCUGGUACCUCUCGUACCUGAUGUUUGAGGCUCAGACUACUUCUUACAGAAAGGAAAGAAAACACAGAAGAAGAAAAAAACAUCAGCACCAGCUUCUCCAUCAUCGAAAUUUAAAUGCAACCUUAGAUAUUACCACUGAUAAAACUGGUGACUCUGCUCCUCCGACGUUUUCUAAUCAUCACACUCAGAGCUGAUCUUUAUAAAAACCUGCUGGAUUCAUAUUUAUGUUCCUGGAUAAACGGGGCGUCGCCUCUUCUGCAACAAAGAAGAGGCGGAUAUUAAAAAAUGGAAAUGCUGGUGAAACAGAGAUCAAGAUGCUUGAAGCAGUGAAGGGUCUCGAUCCAGUCGAAAACAACCUGGUUGUUUUCAAUGUGAUGCUGGUCAACCAUGAG
Molecule: long non-coding RNA, 589 nt
Organism: Pleuronectes platessa (European plaice)
Lineage: Eukaryota; Metazoa; Chordata; Actinopteri; Pleuronectiformes; Pleuronectidae
Exons: 4
Source: RefSeq, a predicted model, not a curated record